AACGAACGCUGGCGGCAUGCCUAACACAUGCAAGUCGAACGAGACCUUCGGGUCUAGUGGCGCACGGGUGCGUAACGCGUGGGAACCUGCCCUUAGGUUCGGAAUAACUCCCCGAAAGGGGUGCUAAUACCGGAUAAUGUCUUCGGACCAAAGAUUUAUCGCCUUUGGAUGGGCCCGCGUUGGAUUAGCUAGUUGGUAGGGUAAAAGCCUACCAAGGCGACGAUCCAUAGCUGGUCUGAGAGGAUGAUCAGCCACACUGGGACUGAGACACGGCCCAGACUCCCAGGGGAGGCAGAGGGGGGGAAUUUGGGAAAGUGGGCAAAAGCCUAAUCCAGCAAUGCCGGGGGAGUGAUGAGGGCCUGGGGGUUGAAAAGCUUUUUUCCCGGGGAUGAUAAGGACAGUCCGGGGAAAAAAGGCCCCGGCUACCUCCGUG
Molecule: ribosomal RNA, 433 nt
Filed under: uncultured bacterium
Lineage: Bacteria
Description: partial 16S ribosomal RNA
Rfam family: Bacterial small subunit ribosomal RNA
Source: RNAcentral